UAGAGAUCCUGCCCUCACGGGUAGACCUCCAACCCUGUGUAUUUAUACCUCGUUGCUUCGGCAGGCCGUCUAGGCUUCGGCUUAGCCAUGGGCUUCGGCUCGUGAGUGCCUGCCAGAAGACACUAAAACUCUUGAUAUAAUUGUCGUCUGAGUAAAAACUUAAUAAGUUA
RNAcentral lists this unclassified non-coding RNA (170 nucleotides) under uncultured fungus. RNAcentral describes it as "sequence contains ITS1, 5.8S rRNA gene". The record is from RNAcentral. Lineage: Eukaryota; Fungi.